AUUGAACGCUGGCGGAAUGCUUUACACAUGCAAGUCGAACGGCAGCACGGACUUCGGUCUGGUGGCGAGUGGCGAACGGGUGAGUAAUGUAUCGGAACGUGCCCAGUCGUGGGGGAUAACGUAGUGUAAAUUACGCUAAUACCGCAUACGAUCUAUGGAUGAAAGCGGGGGAUCGCAAGACCUCGCGCGAUUGGAGCGGCCGAUAUCAGAUUAGGUAGUUGGGGGGGUAAAGGCCCACCAAGCCAACUAUCUGUAGCUGGUCUGAGAGGACGACCAGCCACAGUGGAACUGAAACCCGGUCCAGACUCCUACGGGAGGCAGCAGGGGGGAAUUUUGGACAAGGGGCGAAAGCCUGAUCCAGCCAUUCCGCGGGCAGGAUGAAGGCCCUCGGGUUGUAAACUGCUUUUGUACAGAACAAAAAGGUUUCUACUAAUACUAGGAGCUCAUGACGGUACUGUAAGAAUAAGCACCGGCUAACUACGUGCCAGCCGCCGCCGUAA
Molecule: ribosomal RNA, 500 nt
Filed under: uncultured bacterium
Lineage: Bacteria
Description: partial 16S ribosomal RNA
Rfam family: Bacterial small subunit ribosomal RNA
Source: RNAcentral